RNAcentral lists this long non-coding RNA (315 nucleotides) under Triticum aestivum (bread wheat). RNAcentral's name for it is "long non-coding RNA (TAES_LNC025938)". The record is from RNAcentral. Lineage: Eukaryota; Viridiplantae; Streptophyta; Magnoliopsida; Poales; Poaceae.
UAAUAAAACAAGAAACCAUGAUAUUCCAAUCAUAUUGCAUGACCUUCAUUGUUCAGUAAGUUCAGAUACAAAGCAGCAGCACCAAAAUAACUGAAUGUAACAUUUCAGUUCACACACAUGGCAUACAAAUAAAUUGUUGGGACAUUGUUUUUUUUUUUUUGGAAAUGUUGGGACAUUGUUGGAGCAGCAGGAAACCACCCCACCGGCCAGGUUCCAUUUAUUCAGAUUGGGGAGCCAGAUUCACCUUCAAUUCUCCAACAUCAUAAGCUCAAUUCAACUGAGCACCACUUCGAUCUGUCCCGUCGAACAGCCGAU